RNAcentral lists this ribosomal RNA (492 nucleotides) under uncultured bacterium. Its description in RNAcentral is "partial 16S ribosomal RNA". It matches the Rfam family "Bacterial small subunit ribosomal RNA", at positions 29 to 507 of the family's 1533-position model. The record is from RNAcentral.
AGUGAACGCUGGCGGUAGGCCUAACACAUGCAAGUCGAACGGCAGCACAGUAAGAGCUUGCUCUUACGGGUGGCGAGUGGCGGACGGGUGAGGAAUACAUCGGAAUCUACUUUUUCGUGGGGGAUAACGUAGGGAAACUUACGCUAAUACCGCAUACGACCUACGGGUGAGAGCAGGGGAUCUUCGGACCUUGCGCGAUUGAAUGAGCCGAUGUCGGAUUAGCUAGUUGGCGGGGUAAAGGCCCACCAAGGUGACGAUCCGUAGCUGGUCUGAGAGGAUGAUCAGCCACACUGGAACUGAGACACGGUCCAGACUCCUACGGGAGGCAGCAGUGGGGAAUAUUGGACAAUGGGCGCAAGCCUGAUCCAGCCAUACCGCGUGGGUGAAGAAGGCCUUCGGGUUGUAAAGCCCUUUUGUUGGGAAAGAAAAGCAGCAGGUUAAUACCCCGCUGUUCUGACGGUACCCAAAGAAUAAGCACCGGCUAACUUCGUG